CUCGCAAGGAGGAAACUCAAAGGAAUUGACGGGACUCCGCACAAGCGGUGGAUCAUGUUGUUUAAUUCGAAGGUACCCGAAAAACCUCACCAGGUCUUGACAUGCUUCUGCAAAGCUGUAGAAACACAGUGGAGGUUAUCAGUUGCACAGGUGGUGCAUGGUUGUCGUCAGCUCGUGUCGUGAGAUGUUGGGUUAAGUCCCGCAACGAGCGCAACCCUUAUUGUUAGUUACCAGCACGUAAUGGUGGGGACUUUAGCAAGACUGCCAGUGAUGAAUUGGAGGAAGGUGGGGACGACGUCAAAUCAUCAUGCCCCUAUGACCUGCUACAA
Molecule: ribosomal RNA, 329 nt
Filed under: Leafhopper (Deltocephalinae) aster yellows phytoplasma
Lineage: Bacteria; Bacillati; Mycoplasmatota; Mollicutes; Acholeplasmatales; Acholeplasmataceae
Description: bacterial SSU rRNA
Rfam family: Bacterial small subunit ribosomal RNA
Source: RNAcentral